Molecule: small RNA, 27 nt
Filed under: Bombyx mori (domestic silkworm)
Lineage: Eukaryota; Metazoa; Arthropoda; Insecta; Lepidoptera; Bombycidae
Description: ovarian small RNA-28497
Source: RNAcentral
UCGAUGGUUUCUCUCUUCAGUUGCUGG